Molecule: ribosomal RNA, 107 nt
Filed under: Phaseolus vulgaris (common bean)
Lineage: Eukaryota; Viridiplantae; Streptophyta; Magnoliopsida; Fabales; Fabaceae
Source: RNAcentral
AGGUGCGAUCAUACCAGCACUAAUGCACUGGAUCCCAUCAGAACUCCGCAGUUAAGCGCGCUUGGGCGAGAGUAGUAACCUCCUGGGAAGUCCUCGUGUUGCACUUC